AACAUCGCGCACCUGCGGGAACCUGCGGAAGGAUCAUUACCGAGUUUACAACUCCCAAACCCAUGUGAACAUACCUAUCGUUGCUUCGGCGGAUCGCCCCGGGCGCCUUGCGUGCCCCGGAUCCAGGCGGCCGCCGGGGGACCUUAACUCUUGUUUUUACUGAGAAUCUUCUGAGUCGUUUUUACAAAUAAAUAAAAACUUUCAACAACGGAUCU
Molecule: unclassified non-coding RNA, 215 nt
Filed under: soil metagenome
Description: partial contains 5.8S ribosomal RNA, internal transcribed spacer 2, and large subunit ribosomal RNA
Source: RNAcentral